CCUACGGGAGGCAGCAGUGGGGAAUAUUGGGCAAUGGAGGAAACUCUGACCCAGCGACGCCGCGUGCGGGAUGAAGGCCUUCGGGUUGUAAACCGCUUUCAGUAGGGAAGAAGCGAAAGUGACGGUACCUACAAAAGAAGCACCGGCCAACUAUGUGCCAGCAGCCGCGGUAAUACAUAGGGUGCAAGCGUUGUCCGGAAUUAUUGGGCGUAAAGAGCUCGUAGGUCGUUUGUUACGUCGGAUGUGAAAACCUGAGGCUCAACCUCAGGCCUGCAUUCGAUACGGGCAAACUAGAGUUUGGUAGGGGAGACUGGAAUUCCUGGUGUAGCGGUGGAAUGCGCAGAUAUCAGGAGGAACACCAAUGGCGAAGGCAGGUCUCUGGGCCAAUACUGACACUGAGGAGCGAAAGUCUGGGGAGCGAACAGGAUUAGAUACCCUGGUAGUCCAGACCGUAAACGGUGGGCACUAGUUGUGGGAACCUUCCACGGUUUCUGCGACGCAGCUAACGCAUUAAGUGCCCCGCCUGGGGAGUACGAUCGCAAGAUUAAAACUUAAAUGAAUUGACGG
Molecule: ribosomal RNA, 567 nt
Filed under: uncultured bacterium
Lineage: Bacteria
Description: bacterial SSU rRNA
Rfam family: Bacterial small subunit ribosomal RNA
Source: RNAcentral